This 405-nucleotide ribosomal RNA is filed under the name Heterocapsa psammophila. Its description in RNAcentral is "partial small subunit ribosomal RNA". It matches the Rfam family "Eukaryotic small subunit ribosomal RNA", at positions 30 to 432 of the family's 1831-position model. The record is from RNAcentral. Lineage: Eukaryota; Dinophyceae; Peridiniales; Heterocapsaceae.
GCUUGUCUCAAAGAUUAAGCCAUGCAUGUCUAAGUAUAAACAACUUUGUACUGUGAAACUGCGAAUGGCUCAUUAAAUCAGUUAUAGUUUAUUUGAUAGUACCUUACUACUUGGAUAACCGUAGUAAUUCUAGAGCUAAUACAUGCGAAAAGACCCGACUUUUUGGAAGGGUUGUAUUUAUUAGAUACAAAACCAACCCAGGCUCUGCCUGGUCUUGUGGUGAUUCAUAAUAACCGAACGAAUCGUAUGGCAUCAGCUGGCGAUGAAUCAUUCAAGUUUCUGACCUAUCAGCUUCCGACGGUAGGGUAUUGGCCUACCGUGGCAAUGACGGGUAACGGAGAAUUAGGGUUCGAUUCCGGAGAGGGAGCCUGAGAAACGGCUACCACAUCUAAGGAAGGCAGCAGG